AGGCAGCAGUAGGGAAUCUUCCACAAUGGACGAAAGUCUGAUGGAGCAACGCCGCGUGAGUGAAGAAGGGUUUCGGCUCGUAAAACUCUGUUGUUAAAGAAGAACAUAUCUGAGAGUAACUGUUCAGGUAUUGACGGUAUUUAACCAGAAAGCCACGGCUAACUACGUGCCAGCAGCCGCGGUAAUACGUAGGUGGCAAGCGUUGUCCGGAUUUAUUGGGCGUAAAGCGAGCGCAGGCGGUUUUUUAAGUCUGAUGUGAAAGCCUUCGGCUCAACCGAAGAAGUGCAUCGGAAACUGGGAAACUUGAGUGCAGAAGAGGACAGUGGAACUCCAUGUGUAGCGGUGAAAUGCGUAGAUAUAUGGAAGAACACCAGUGGCGAAGGCGGCUGUCUGGUCUGUAACUGACGCUGAGGCUCG
This 417-nucleotide ribosomal RNA is filed under the name Lactiplantibacillus plantarum. RNAcentral's name for it is "bacterial SSU rRNA". It matches the Rfam family "Bacterial small subunit ribosomal RNA", at positions 346 to 755 of the family's 1533-position model. Lineage: Bacteria; Bacillati; Bacillota; Bacilli; Lactobacillales; Lactobacillaceae. The record is from RNAcentral.